This 389-nucleotide ribosomal RNA is filed under the name uncultured bacterium. Its description in RNAcentral is "bacterial SSU rRNA". It matches the Rfam family "Bacterial small subunit ribosomal RNA", at positions 30 to 418 of the family's 1533-position model. The record is from RNAcentral.
AUUGAACGCUGGCGGCAUGCUUUACACAUGCAAGUCGAACGGUAACAGGGAGCUUGCUCCGCUGACGAGUGGCGAACGGGUGAGUAAUGCAUCGGAACGUACCCAGUCGUGGGGGGAUAACGUAGCGAAAGUUACGCUAAUACCGCAUACGUCCUGAGGGAGAAAGCGGGGGACCGAAAGGCCUCGCGCGAUUGGAGCGGCCGAUGUCGGAUUAGCUAGUUGGUAGGGUAAAGGCCUACCAAGGCAACGAUCCGUAGCGGGUCUGAGAGGAUGAUCCGCCACACUGGGACUGAGACACGGUCCAGACUCCUACGGGAGGCAGCAGUGGGGAAUUUUGGACAAUGGGCGCAAGCCUGAUCCAGCCAUGCCGCGUGAGUGAAGAAGGCCUU